This 467-nucleotide ribosomal RNA is filed under the name uncultured bacterium. RNAcentral describes it as "partial 16S ribosomal RNA". It matches the Rfam family "Bacterial small subunit ribosomal RNA", at positions 28 to 507 of the family's 1533-position model. The record is from RNAcentral.
GAUGAACGCUGGCGGCGUGCUUAACACAUGCAAGUCGAACGGAAAGGCCCAAGCUUGCUUGGGUCCUCGAGUGGCGAACGGGUGAGUAACACGUGGGUGAUCUGCCCUGCACUUCGGGAUAAGCCUGGGAAACUGGGUCUAAUACCGGAUAGGACCACUUCUUGGAUGUUGUGGUGGAAAGUUUUUUCGGUGUGGGAUGAGCUCGCGGCCUAUCAGCUUGUUGGUGGGGUAAUGGCCUACCAAGGCGUCGACGGGUAGCCGGCCUGAGAGGGUGUACGGCCACAUUGGGACUGAGAUACGGCCCAGACUCCUACGGGAGGCAGCAGUGGGGAAUAUUGCACAAUGGGCGCAAGUCUGAUGCAGCGACGCCGCGUGGGGGAUGACGGCCUUCGGGUUGUAAACUCCUUUCGCUAGGGACGAAGCGUUUUGUGACGGUACCUGGAGAAGAAGCACCGGCUAACUACGUG